GACGAACGCUGGCGGCGUGCUUAACACAUGCAAGUCGAACGGAAAGGCCUGCUUUCCCUUGUGGAUUGCGGGUACUCGAGUGGCGAACGGGUGAGUAACACGUGAGUGAUCUGCCCCCAACUUGGGUAUAAGCCUGGGAAACUGGGUCUAAUUCCCGAUAGGACUGCAGGGUGGUGCCUGUGGUGGAAAACGAUGUUCUAGUGGUUGGGGAUGAGCUCGCGGCCUAUCAGCUUGUUGGUGGGGUAAUGGCCUACCAAGGCGGCGACGGGUAGCCGGCCUGAGAGGGUGGACGGCCACAUUGGGACUGAGAUACGGCCCAGACUCCUACGGGAGGCAGCAGUGGGGAAUAUUGCACAAUGGGCGGAAGCCUGAUGCAGCGACGCCGCGUGGGGGAUGUCGGCCUUCGGGUUGUAAACUCCUUUCGACCGCGAGGAAGCCACCUGGUUGGAAGGGUGGUGACGGUAGUGGUAGAAGAAGCACCGGCUAACUACGUG
RNAcentral lists this ribosomal RNA (494 nucleotides) under uncultured bacterium. RNAcentral's name for it is "partial 16S ribosomal RNA". It matches the Rfam family "Bacterial small subunit ribosomal RNA", at positions 28 to 507 of the family's 1533-position model. The record is from RNAcentral.